RNAcentral lists this ribosomal RNA (510 nucleotides) under uncultured bacterium. RNAcentral's name for it is "partial 16S ribosomal RNA". It matches the Rfam family "Bacterial small subunit ribosomal RNA", at positions 28 to 507 of the family's 1533-position model. The record is from RNAcentral.
GACGAACGCUGGCGGCGUGCUUAACACAUGCAAGUCGAACGAAGAGCGAUGGAAGCUUGCUUCUAUCAAUCUUAGUGGCGAACGGGUGAGUAACGCGUAAUCAACCUGCCCUUCAGAGGGGGACAACAGUUGGAAACGACUGCUAAUACCGCAUACGAUCUAAUCUCGGCAUCGAGGAUAGAUGAAAGGUGGCCUCUACAUGUAAGCUCUCACUGAAGGAGGGGAUUGCGUCUGAUUAGCUAGUUGGAGGGGUAACGGCCCACCAAGGCGAUGAUCAGUAGCCGGUCUGAGAGGAUGAACGGCCACAUUGGGACUGAGACACGGCCCAGACUCCUACGGGAGGCAGCAGUGGGGAAUCUUCCGCAAUGGACGAAAGUCUGACGGAGCAACGCCGCGUGAGCGAUGACGGCCUUCGGGUUGUAAAGCUCUGUUAAUCGGGACGAAAGGCCUUCUUGCGAAUAGUGAGAAGGAUUGACGGUACCGGAAUAGAAAGCCACGGCUAACUACGUG